Long non-coding RNA from Penaeus monodon (black tiger shrimp), 233 nucleotides. RefSeq lists it as uncharacterized. The transcript has 3 exons. NCBI's taxonomy places the organism in Eukaryota, Metazoa, Arthropoda, Malacostraca, Decapoda, Penaeidae. The record is from RefSeq and is a predicted model, not a curated record.
UCAGGCAAGCACGAAGAAAGCGCUCGAUCAGCCUCUGAAGUAGCAACGCUGAUCAAAACAUUUCGUGUUGGGCUCAAUUGUGUUUCUCAGGCGAAAUAAACCGUAAGAAGCCUGGAUACAUUUGAAGGGUGGAAGUGCAUCAUGUUGCGCCUGAUAACCCUUGAUGCGAACAAUACCCUUUUAAACUGUGGGAAUUUGGAGCAAUAGGAUCAGUCAUCCAAAGUUGAAGGUAC